RNAcentral lists this ribosomal RNA (2896 nucleotides) under Clostridioides difficile. Its description in RNAcentral is "bacterial LSU rRNA". It matches the Rfam family "Bacterial large subunit ribosomal RNA". The record is from RNAcentral. Lineage: Bacteria; Bacillati; Bacillota; Clostridia; Peptostreptococcales; Peptostreptococcaceae.
UCAAGUUAUUAAGGGUGCAGGGCGGAUGCCUUGGCACUAGGAGCCGAUGAAGGACGUGAUAAGCUGCGAUAAGCUUCGGGGAGUUGCACGUAAACUUUGAUCCGAAGAUUUCCGAAUGAGGAAACUCACUUAGAGUAAUGUCUAAGUAUCAUUAAGUGAAUACAUAGCUUAAUGAGGGGAACUCAGGGAACUGAAACAUCUAAGUACCUGAAGGAAGAGAAAGAAAUUCGAUUCCGUAAGUAGCGGCGAGCGAACGCGGAUUAGCCCAAACCAAUAAAGUUUUCUUUAUUGGGGUUGCGGACAUAUCAUAACGAAGAGGUAUCGUAAUUGAAGAGGUUUGGAAAGACCCACCACAGAAGGUAAUAGUCCUGUAUGUUAAACGAGAAGACUUUAGAUAUGAUCCAGAGUACCACGGGACACGUGAAACCCUGUGGGAAGCAGGAGGGACCACCCUCCAAGGCUAAAUACUACCUAGUGACCGAUAGCGUAUAGUACCGUGAGGGAAAGGUGAAAAGAACCCCGGGAGGGGAGUGAAAUAGAACCUGAAACCCUGCACUUACAAGCUGUGGAAGCACAUUUCUUGUGUGACCGCGUACUUUUUGUAGAACGGGCCAACGAGUUACGUUAAGUAGCAAGGUUAAGCACUUAAGGUGCGGAGCCGUAGCGAAAGCGAGUUUUAACUGAGCGUUCAGUUACUUGACGUAGACCCGAAACCGGGCGACCUACCCAUGAGCAGGAUGAAGCGAAAGUAAAAUUUCGUGGAGGUCCGAACCCACGAGCGUUGAAAAGCUCGGGGAUGACUUGUGGGUAGCGGUGAAAUUCCAAUCGAGCCCGGAGAUAGCUGGUUCUCCCCGAAAUAGCUUUAGGGCUAGCCUCAAGGUGAGAGAUACGGAGGUAGAGCACUGAAUGUCCUAGGGGGUAUUGCACCUACCGAAGACUAUCAAACUCCGAAUGCCGUCAUCUUAUACUUGGGAGUCAGACUGUGGGUGAUAAGAUUCAUAGUCGAAAGGGCAACAGCCCAGAUCGUCAGCUAAGGUCCCUAAAUGUAAGUUAAGUGGUAAAGGAUGUGGGAUUGCACAGACAACCAGGAUGUUGGCUUAGAAGCAGCCACUCAUUCAAAGAGUGCGUAAUAGCUCACUGGUCGAGUGAUCCUGCGCCGAAGAUUUCCGGGGCUAAAACUUACUACCGAAGCUACGGCAUCAGUAAUGAUGGGUAGGGGAGCUUCCCAUAUGGGUUGAAGCAUGACCGUAAGGACAUGUGGACAGUAUGGGAGUGAGAAUGUUGGCAUGAGUAGCGAGAUGUGGGUGAGAAUCCCACAGGCCGUAAACCCAAGGUUUCCAGGGGAAGGUUCGUCCGCCCUGGGUUAGUCGGGACCUAAGCUGAGGCCGAAAGGCGUAGGUGAUGGACAACAGGUUGAUAUUCCUGUACUACCGAUAACCGUUUGAGAGAAGGGAUGACACAGUAGGAUAAGCUAAGCACACUGUUGGUUAUGUGUGCCCAAGCAUUGAGGCAGUCAAAGUAGGCAAAUCCGCUUUGAUAAUGCUGGGAUGUGAUGGGGAGCGAAAUUUAGUAGCGAAGUAGCUGAUUUCACACUGUCAAGAAAAGUCUCUAUCGAGGUUAAAGGUACCCGUACCGCAAACCGACACAGGUGGGUGAGGAGAGUAUCCUAAGGCCAGCGAGAGAACUGUUGUUAAGGAACUCGGCAAAAUGACCCCGUAACUUAGGGAUAAGGGGUGCCACCAUCAGGUGGCCGCAGAGAAUAGGCCCAAGCGACUGUUUACCAAAAACAUAGGUUUCUGCUAAGUCGCAAGACGAUGUAUAGGAGCUGACGCCUGCCCGGUGCUGGAAGGUUAAGGGGAUCUGUUAGAGCAAUCGAAGCAGUGAACUUAAGCCCCAGUAAACGGCGGCCGUAACUAUAACGGUCCUAAGGUAGCGAAAUUCCUUGUCGGGUAAGUUCCGACCCGCACGAAAGGCGUAACGAUUUGGGCACUGUCUCAACAACAGACUCGGUGAAAUUGUAAUUCCGGUGAAGAUGCCGGAUACCUGCGACAGGACGGAAAGACCCCAUGGAGCUUUACUGUAGCUUGACAUUGGGUCUUGGUACUACAUGUACAGGAUAGGUGGGAGGCUUUGAAACCAGGACGCCAGUUUUGGCGGAGCCAUCCUUGGGAUACCACCCUUGUAGUACUGGGACUCUAACCAUAGGCCAUGAAUCUGGUCUUGGGACACUGUCAGGUGGGCAGUUUGACUGGGGCGGUCGCCUCCCAAAAGGUAACGGAGGCGCUCAAAGGUUCUCUCAGUACGGUCGGAAAUCGUACGUAGAGUGUAAAGGCAAAAGAGAGCUUGAUUGCAAGACAUACAGGUCGAGCAAGGAUGAAAAUCGGACUUAGUGAUCCGGUGGUUCUGCGUGGAAGGGCCAUCGCUCAACGGAUAAAAGCUACCCUGGGGAUAACAGGCUUAUCUCCCCCAAGAGUCCACAUCGACGGGGAGGUUUGGCACCUCGAUGUCGGCUCAUCACAUCCUGGGGCUGUAGUAGGUCCCAAGGGUUGGGCUGUUCGCCCAUUAAAGUGGUACGCGAGCUGGGUUCAGAACGUCGUGAGACAGUUCGGUCCCUAUCCGUCGCAGGCGUAGGAAAUUUGAGAAGACCUGUCCUUAGUACGAGAGGACCGGGAUGGACGUACCUCUGGUGUACCAGUUGUCCUGCCAAGGGCAUGGCUGGGUAGCUAUGUACGGAAUGGAUAAGCGCUGAAAGCAUCUAAGCGCGAAGCCAACUUCAAGAUAAGAUUUCCCACCGCAAGGGUAAGACCCCAGAAAGACUAUCUGGUUGAUAGGUCGAAGGUGUAAGUGCAGCAAUGUAUUUAGCUUAUCGAUACUAAUAGGUCGAGGACUUGACCAA